UACAGAGGUCUCAAGCGUUGUUCGGAUUCAUUGGGCGUAAAGGGUGCGUAGGUGGCGUGGUAAGUCGGGUGUGAAAUUUCGGAGCUUAACUCCGAAACUGCAUUCGAUACUGCCGUGCUUGAGGACUGGAGAGGAGACUGGAAUUUACGGUGUAGCAGUGAAAUGCGUAGAUAUCGUAAGGAAGACCAGUGGCGAAGGCGGCUCUCUGGACAGUUCCUGACACUGAGGCACGAAGGCCAGGGGAGCAAACGGG
RNAcentral lists this ribosomal RNA (253 nucleotides) under uncultured bacterium. Its description in RNAcentral is "partial 16S ribosomal RNA". It matches the Rfam family "Bacterial small subunit ribosomal RNA", at positions 524 to 776 of the family's 1533-position model. The record is from RNAcentral.